GAGUCAUUGGGACAUUGAAACCUAAAGGCGCAAUGAAAGUGAAGAUCGGCCUCGCGCCGAUCGAGGGAGGAUGGGUCGCGUCACGAUGCGACCCCGCACUCCCGGGGCGUCUCGUUCUCGUUUCGAGAUGAGGCGCACCCAGAGCGUACACGUUGGGACCCGAAAGAUGGUGAACUAUGCCUGGUCAGGACGAAGUCAGGGGAAACCCUGAUGGAGGUCCG
This 221-nucleotide ribosomal RNA is filed under the name Gasteruption sp. RNAcentral describes it as "partial 28S ribosomal RNA". It matches the Rfam family "Eukaryotic large subunit ribosomal RNA", at positions 688 to 877 of the family's 3401-position model. The record is from RNAcentral. Lineage: Eukaryota; Metazoa; Arthropoda; Insecta; Hymenoptera; Gasteruptiidae.